RNAcentral lists this non-coding RNA (21 nucleotides) under Arabidopsis thaliana (thale cress). Lineage: Eukaryota; Viridiplantae; Streptophyta; Magnoliopsida; Brassicales; Brassicaceae. The record is from RNAcentral.
UGAUUUGUCUCAAAAAAUCUA